RNAcentral lists this long non-coding RNA (1271 nucleotides) under Homo sapiens (human). RNAcentral's name for it is "non-protein coding lnc-OR4F29-11:2". Lineage: Eukaryota; Metazoa; Chordata; Mammalia; Primates; Hominidae. The record is from RNAcentral.
UCCGGCAGAGCGGAAGCGGCGGCGGGAGCUUCCGGGAGGGCGGCUCGCAGGUCAGAUUAUCCUUGUAGAGGCCCCCUGGAUGGCACCAAGAUCGGCCCUGGCAAGUAGACCUACAAGAUGGGGUACUAACACCACCCCCACCGCCCCCACCACCACCCCCAGCUCCUGAGGUGCUGGCCAGUGCACCCCCACUCCCACCCUCAACCGCGGCCCCUGUAGGCCAAGGCGCCAGGCAGGACGACAGCAGCAGCAGCGCGUCUCCUUCAGGUGGGAGCAGCUCUUUGAGGCCACCUGAUUUCUGGCGUGCUCAGUGCACUCGGGUGGAUUUUCUGUGGGUUUGUUAAGUGGUCAGAAAUUCUCAAUUUUUUGAAUAGUUUCCAUUUCAAAUAUCUUGUUCUACUUGGUUCAUAAAAUAGUGGUUUUCAAACUGUAGAGCUCUGGACUUCUCACUUCUAGGGCAGAGGGAGCCUGAACAAGUGAGGCUCUGGGUUCCCCAUUCCUAAUUAAACCAAUGGAAAGAAGGGGUCUAAUAACAAACUACAGCAACACAUUUUUCAUUUCAGCUUCACUGCUGUGUCUCCCAGUGUAACCCUAGCAUCCAGAAGUGGCACAAAACCCCUCUGCUGGCUCGUGUGUGCAACUGAGACUGUCAGAGCAUGGCUAGCUCAGGGGUCCAGCUCUGCAGGGUGGGGGCUAGAGAGGAAGCAGGGAGUAUCUGCACACAGGAUGCCCGCGCUCAGGUGGUUGCAGAAGUCAGUGCCCAGGCCCCCACACACAGUCUCCAAAGGUCCGGCCUCCCCAGCGCAGGGCUCCUCGUUUGAGGGGAGGUGACUUCCCUCCCAGCAGGCUCUUGGACACAGUAAGCUUCCCCAGCCCUGCCUGAGCAGCCUUUCCUCCUUGCCCUGUUCCCCACCUCCCGGCUCCAGUCCAGGGAGCUCCCAGGGAAGUGGUUGACCCCUCCGGUGGCUGGCCACUCUGCUAGAGUCCAUCCGCCAAGCUGGGGGCAUCGGCAAGGCCAAGCUGCGCAGCAUGAAGGAGCGAAAGCUGGAGAAGCAGCAGCAGAAGGAGCAGGAGCAAGGUGAGCGGGCCCUGGAGCUUGCAGUCGGAGGGCCUUGGGCAAGAUCGCCUCCUCCCCUCCAGCCCUGAGUCCACCGGGUGCUUUCUGCCCACCCCCUGCUCUUGCCAGCUGGCCCCUGCUUCCCCUAGGGCACAUGCUGGAAGCCCUGGGCCGCCACCAGAGGUCCUCAGCCCUCCUGCCUGGGCUAUGGCUC